CGGGGACCAGCCCGGCCCAGAGCCACCGGGUGCCUGCUCCGGUGGGCGCCGCCAUCUUGGAAGAGCAGCCUGCCUACGGCAAGCCGGAGGGGUCAAUUCAGAACGAGGGCGAGCCUGACCACCUACAGCACACGCAGCCCAAGAGUACACAUAACGGAAGCUAUUUAUGCUGCUUCUUGAUUUGUUCCCCUUUGGUUGCUAUGUAAAUGCAUCUUUUCAGGAAAGCCAGCUCCACAGGGCAUGUGGGACAGGGCCUGCCCUUAAGCCAGUGCUCAGAUAAUAGCGACCGACUCAGGUCACAGAUACUGCUACACCUCUCAGGCCUGUCACUGUGGUUUGGCACCAGCCCAUUUGGCACCGGCUCCGAAGGCUUCAGUUAAAGAGAUGAAUGGGACAGAGCGCAGGAGCUAAACUUGUAAGAUCUAUAGCAAGCUCCUCUGGAGAAGUGUCUUUAAAAUCGUCUUUCAAACCCCCAAGAAGUCUGCUUUUCCCACUGAGAGGAAAACAUUCUUUAUUUUAGGAACACUUCGGACAGGGCACUGAGCCACCUUCCACCAUGCUACUGCGUGACCUGAGCAUGACUUACCCAGGCGUGCAAGAGCAAUUUGCUGCACCAUUUUUAAUGGCUUCUAAACCCAGGUAAAUCAUAGUCCUUGGCAGCUAAGGAAAGGCCUAGAAACUACUGCCAGGAAGCAGAAGAAUCUCCAGCCGGCUGAUGAAGAUCAAGAAAAAAAAAAACCAAAAC
Pelodiscus sinensis (Chinese soft-shelled turtle) is the source of this 745-nucleotide long non-coding RNA. RefSeq lists it as uncharacterized. NCBI's taxonomy places the organism in Eukaryota, Metazoa, Chordata, Testudines, Trionychidae. The record is from RefSeq and is a predicted model, not a curated record.